AAGCAUCUUCGGAUGUGUAUAAAGUGGCGAACGGCUGAGUAACACGUGGGCAACCUGCCCUUUGCACUGGGAUAGCCUCGGGAAACCGAGGUUAAUACCGGAUACUCCAUAUUUGUCGCAUGGCGAAUAUGGGAAAGCUCCGGCGGCAAAGGAUGGGCCCGCGGCCUGUUAGCUAGUUGGUGGGGUAGUGGCCUACCAAGGCAAUGACGGGUAGCCGGGUUGAGAGACCGACCGGCCAGAUUGGGACUGAGACACGGCCCAGACUCCUACGGGAGGCAGCAGUGGGGAAUCUUGCACAAUGGGCGAAAGCCUGAUGCAGCGACGCCGCGUGCGGGAUGAAGGCCUUCGGGUUGUAAACCGCUUUCAGCAGGGACGAGGCCGCAAGGUGACGGUACC
This 396-nucleotide ribosomal RNA is filed under the name uncultured Atopobium sp. RNAcentral's name for it is "bacterial SSU rRNA". It matches the Rfam family "Bacterial small subunit ribosomal RNA", at positions 72 to 479 of the family's 1533-position model. The record is from RNAcentral. Lineage: Bacteria; Bacillati; Actinomycetota; Coriobacteriia; Coriobacteriales; Atopobiaceae.